Molecule: microRNA precursor, 106 nt
Filed under: Canis lupus familiaris (dog)
Lineage: Eukaryota; Metazoa; Chordata; Mammalia; Carnivora; Canidae
Also listed under: 1 other name
Description: mir-8834 microRNA precursor family
Rfam family: mir-8834 microRNA precursor family
Source: Rfam by way of RNAcentral
ACGAGGAACAACCCCAGUGGCGGGGCCAGCUCUGGAGCUCUGGAUUCAGCCCCCGCAGGAACUCCGGAGCUCUCUGUCUGCAGGAGCCUUGAUGCUCUGGGGUGGG